CUUUCGGCGUAGCAUCUCAUGCUAGAUUUUUAUCUGGGGGCCUUUGAAGAGCCAGCCGGCACAGAAGCAUGGUGGCAACGCUGUGCCUGGAAAACUCAUCAGUGUCACUCUGGUUUAUUUUCCUCUCCUCUUUGAGCUGUUUCCCAUGGUGUGGGGCUCUCAGUGACAACUGGCAAGCGGCGGGGCGGUUGCUCGUUGUCAUUCUGGUAGGCGCUGGUUUCCGGAGGGCUCUGAGUGCUUUAUGGCGGCAGCUAUGCCAUCCACGACUCCCAGGCCCCCAGUCUCAGCUCUGGGGGUGAGAGUUCCCCCUCCAGCCCCGUACACAACUGGGAGAUGAAUUACCAAGAGGCAGCAAUCUACCUCCAGGAAGGCGAGAACAACGACAAGUUCUUCACCCACCCCAAGGAUGCCAAGGCGCUGGCGGCCUACCUCUUUGCACACAAUCACCUCUUCUACCUGAUGGAGCUGGCCACGGCCCUGCUGCUGCUGCUGCUCUCCCUGUGCGAGGCCCCCGCCGUCCCCGCACUCCGGCUUGGCAUCUAUGUCCACGCCACCCUGGAGCUGUUCGCCCUGAUGGUGGUAGUGUUUGAACUCUGCAUGAAGUUACGCUGGCUGGGCCUCCACACCUUCAUCCGGCACAAGCGGACCAUGGUCAAGACCUCGGUGCUGGUGGUGCAGUUUGUCGAGGCCAUCGUGGUGUUGGUACGGCAGAUGUCCCAUGUGCGGGUGACCCGAGCACUGCGCUGCAUUUUCCUGGUGGACUGUCGGUAUUGCGGUGGCGUCCGGCGCAACCUGCGGCAGAUCUUCCAGUCCCUGCCCCCCUUCAUGGACAUCCUCCUGCUGCUGCUGUUCUUCAUGAUCAUCUUUGCCAUCCUCGGUUUCUACUUGUUCUCCCCUAACCCUUCAGACCCCUACUUCAGCACCCUGGAGAACAGCAUCGUUAGUCUGUUUGUCCUUCUGACCACAGCCAAUUUCCCAGAUGUGAUGAUGCCCUCCUACUCCCGGAACCCCUGGUCCUGCGUCUUCUUUAUCGUGUACCUCUCCAUCGAGCUGUAUUUCAUCAUGAACCUGCUUCUGGCUGUGGUGUUCGACACCUUCAACGACAUUGAGAAACGCAAGUUCAAGUCUUUGCUACUGCACAAGCGAACCGCUAUCCAGCAUGCCUACCGUCUGCUCAUCAGCCAGAGGAGGCCUGCCGGCAUCUCCUACAGGCAGUUUGAAGGCCUCAUGCGCUUCUACAAGCCCCGGAUGAGUGCCAGGGAGCGCUAUCUUACCUUCAAGGCCCUGAAUCAGAACAACACACCCCUGCUCAGCCUAAAGGACUUUUACGAUAUCUACGAAGUUGCUGCUUUGAAGUGGAAGGCCAAGAAAAACAGAGAGCACUGGUUUGAUGAGCUUCCCAGGACAGCGCUCCUCAUCUUCAAAGGUAUUAAUAUCCUUGUGAAGUCCAAGGCCUUCCAGUAUUUCAUGUACUUGGUGGUGGCAGUCAACGGGGUCUGGAUCCUCGUGGAGACAUUUAUGCUGAAAGGUGAGCCCCGCUCAGGGACUGGCCGUGUCCUGGCUGGCACACCUGGCUUGCCUGUGAGCUGCUACUUCUCUGUCUUACAGGUGGGAACUUCUUCUCCAAGCACGUGCCCUGGAGUUACCUCGUCUUUCUAACUAUCUAUGGGGUGGAGCUGUUCCUGAAGGUCGCCGGCCUGGGCCCUGUGGAGUACUUGUCUUCCGGAUGGAACUUGUUCGACUUCUCCGUGACAGUGUUCGCCUUCCUGGGACUGCUGGCGCUGGCCCUCAACAUGGAGCCCUUCUAUUUCAUCGUGGUCCUGCGCCCCCUCCAGCUGCUGAGGUUGUUUAAGUUGAAGGAGCGCUACCGCAACGUGCUGGACACCAUGUUCGAGCUGCUGCCCCGGAUGGCCAGGUACUGCCAGCCCCCACCCUGGCCUGCAGGUCCAGGUGCCGUGUGGCAGUGCCCCGUGGGGGCGGGAGCCGAGUGGCAGUCGGGGGAAAGGAGUUCCACAAAGGACUGCAAUCGAGGGCCUGACGGGGCUCCAAGGAGCCUGGAAUCUUGACCACCACAGGUCUCCUGGGCACCAUUUUUCUCCACUGACCUGUCUGACAUAUUUAGUAGGGAGGGCAGGGAGCUGUCAACUCGCUUACCACCUGUGUCUACAUUCACAGGUAAGGGGUCACCUGUGAGUCUACCUUCACAGGUAAGGGGUGAAUCUCUGGGAAAGGGGCAUUUGUUCAUAGUGUCCUGACUUGAGCUGUUUUUCACCCCAGAGCUGCCCCACGAGGCCCCUUCCCCGCAGGCACUUUCCAGUUGGUGAACCGACCAGGGGCAUGGCCCUGCAGUCAGCCCCACGGGUCCGAGGAGGCCAG
This 2376-nucleotide small RNA is filed under the name Pan troglodytes (chimpanzee). RNAcentral describes it as "retained intron". Lineage: Eukaryota; Metazoa; Chordata; Mammalia; Primates; Hominidae. The record is from RNAcentral.